This 558-nucleotide ribosomal RNA is filed under the name Triticum aestivum (bread wheat). RNAcentral's name for it is "partial small subunit ribosomal RNA". The record is from RNAcentral. Lineage: Eukaryota; Viridiplantae; Streptophyta; Magnoliopsida; Poales; Poaceae.
GGGAAGACCUUCAAGAAGCCAAGGCGUCCGUAUGAGAAGGAGCGUCUUGACGCUGAGCUGAAGCUGGUUGGGGAGUACGGUCUGCGGGCCAAGCGUGAGCUCUACCGUGUGCAGUACGCCCUCAGCCGCAUCCGAAAUGCUGCCAGGGAGCUGCUCACCCUGGAUGAGAAGAACCCCCGCCGUAUCUUUGAGGGUGCAGCGCUCCUCCGCCGCAUGAACCGCUACGGUCUUCUCACUGAGGAACAGAACAAGCUUGAUUAUGUGCUUGCCCUCACUGUUGACAACUUCCUCCAGCGCCGUCUCCAGACCAUCGUCUUCAAGAAUGGCAUGGCCAAGUCAAUCCAUCAUGCUCGUGUCCUUAUCAGACAGCGCCACAUCAGGGUUGGAAAGCAGCUUGUCAACAUUCCUUCUUUCAUGGUGAGGGUGGACACUGAGAAGCACGUCGACUUCUCUCUCACCAGCCCCCUGGGUGGUGGCCAACCUGGAAGAGUGAAGCGGAAGAACCAGAAGAAGGCCUCAGGUGGUGGUGGUGAUGACGGCGAGGAGGAGGAAGACUAA